Molecule: long non-coding RNA, 274 nt
Filed under: Equus caballus (horse)
Lineage: Eukaryota; Metazoa; Chordata; Mammalia; Perissodactyla; Equidae
Description: lncRNA (ENSECAG00000046083.1)
Source: RNAcentral
GGAUUGGGGUUAGGGUUUGGGUUCGGGCUACUGUUCUGGUUCAGGUAAGGGUUCAGGUUAGGGCUAGGGUUCGGGUCAGGGUAAGGGUUCGGGCAACUGUUCUGGUCAGGUUCGGGUUCAGGUUCGGGUUCGGGUUCGGGUUCGGGUUAGCUUUAGGGUUAGGGUUCGGGUUAGGUUUAUGGUAUGGGUUAGGAUUAUGGUUCAGGGUUAGGGUUCGGGUUAGGGUUAGGGUUCGGGUUCGGGUUCGGGUUCGGGUUCGGGUUAGGGUUCGGGU